RNAcentral lists this ribosomal RNA (478 nucleotides) under uncultured bacterium. RNAcentral describes it as "partial 16S ribosomal RNA". It matches the Rfam family "Bacterial small subunit ribosomal RNA", at positions 28 to 523 of the family's 1533-position model. The record is from RNAcentral.
GACGAACGCUGGCGGCGUGCUUAGCACAUGCAAGUCGAACGGUAAGGCCCUUCGGGGUACACGAGUGGCGAACGGGUGAGUAACACGUGGGUGAUCUGCCCUGCACUUCGGGAUAAGCCUGGGAAACUGGGUCUAAUACCGGAUAGGACCACUGCCUGCAUGGGUGGUGGUGGAAAGCUUUUGCGGGGUGGGAUGGGCCCGCGGCCUAUCAGCUUGUUGGUGGGGUGAUGGCCUACCAAGGCGACGACGGGUAGCCGGCCUGAGAGGGUGACCGGCCACACUGGGACGGAGAUACGGCCCAGACUCCUACGGGAGGCAGCAGUGGGGAAUAUUGCACAAUGGGCGCAAGCCUGACGCAGCGACGCCGCGUGAGGGAUGACGGCCUUCGGGUUGUAAACCUCUUUCAGCACCGACGAAGCGCAAGUGACGGUAGGUGCAGAAGAAGGACCGGCCAACUACGUGCCAGCAGCCGCCGCGG